UACGAAGGGGGCUAGCGUUGCUCGGAAUUACUGGGCGUAAAGCGCACGUAGGCGGCUUUUUAAGUCGGAGGUGAAAUCCUGGAGCUCAACUCCAGAACUGCCUUCGAUACUGGAGAGCUCGAGUCCGGGAGAGGUGAGUGGAACUGCGAGUGUAGAGGUGAAAUUCGUAGAUAUUCGCAAGAACACCAGUGGCGAAGGCGGCUCACUGGCCCGGUACUGACGCUGAGGUGCGAAAGCGUGGGGAGCAAACAGG
Molecule: ribosomal RNA, 253 nt
Filed under: uncultured bacterium
Lineage: Bacteria
Description: partial 16S ribosomal RNA
Rfam family: Bacterial small subunit ribosomal RNA
Source: RNAcentral